GAUGAACGCUGGCGGCGUGCCUAAUACAUGCAAGUCGAGCGAACAGACGAGGAGCUUGCUCCUUUGACGUUAGCGGCGGACGGGUGAGUAACACGUGGAUAACCUACCUAUAAGACUGGGAUAACUUCGGGAAACCGGAGCUAAUACCGGAUAACAUGUUGAACCGCAUGGUUCAACAGUGAAAGGCGGUCUUGCUGUCACUUAUAGAUGGAUCCGCGCCGCAUUAGCUAGUUGGUAAGGUAACGGCUUACCAAGGCAACGAUGCGUAGCCGACCUGAGAGGGUGAUCGGCCACACUGGAACUGAGACACGGUCCAGACUCCUACGGGAGGCAGCAGUAGGGAAUCUUCCGCAAAGGGCGAAAGCCUGACGGAGCAACGCCGCGUGAGUGAAGAAGGUCUUCGGAUCGUAAAACUCUGUUAUUAGGGAAGAACAAAUGUGUAAGUAACUAUGCACGUCUUGACGGUACCUAAUCAGAAAGCCACGGCUAACUACGUG
Molecule: ribosomal RNA, 497 nt
Filed under: uncultured bacterium
Lineage: Bacteria
Description: partial 16S ribosomal RNA
Rfam family: Bacterial small subunit ribosomal RNA
Source: RNAcentral